CACAAUGUGCCACAUACGAGCGAGCACGCAGCGUUCGAUCCCAGCCCAGCCUGCGGCUCCGAGGCAGCGCAUAUUAAAGGCAGGAGUGCGCAUGCGUCAAACUGCGGUAACAGGGGACGAGCUACCGCGGGACGCAUGCGCACUGCGUGCCCAUCACAUGAGAACAGACGGUGUGAAACCUCCGGAGCAGGAGACGACAGCCGCGGAGAAGCCAUUACGGUGGACACCUCCACCAUGACCGGCCGCUCGUGGAGAGCGUCCUCAUGUGGGAUUCUACUCGACAAACGAACUCACCUUAAUAAUCCGUCGGGAGUACAAUGAUCGAUUUGGGUGGAUCGACUAAACACCAGAUCUAAACGUCCCAGACCUGCUGGAUUUAUCCUGGAAUCUGGACCCGCCAUUGUGUCCACUGUCGUUUCACAAGCUUUACGGGAGGAAGGGACUGAUAUCAAACCAUCUCCAUCACAAACCCUCUCAUGGAAUAUGUUUCUGUCCGCUCUCAAUAAAGACUAAUGGGCAUAAGACCGGCGUCAGUGUGUGGACAGAGCCGGUCCCGGGUGUCUCACUGUUGCAAGAAUCCAGAAUAUAUCAGUCUGUAAAUGACUAAUGUUCCCUCAUUAAAAACAUUGGCGCGGGU
Platichthys flesus (European flounder) is the source of this 637-nucleotide long non-coding RNA. RefSeq lists it as uncharacterized. The transcript has 2 exons. NCBI's taxonomy places the organism in Eukaryota, Metazoa, Chordata, Actinopteri, Pleuronectiformes, Pleuronectidae. The record is from RefSeq and is a predicted model, not a curated record.